Molecule: long non-coding RNA, 1123 nt
Organism: Prosopis cineraria
Lineage: Eukaryota; Viridiplantae; Streptophyta; Magnoliopsida; Fabales; Fabaceae
Exons: 2
Source: RefSeq, a predicted model, not a curated record
UUCUCUCAACCCAAGCUCUUUUGUCAUAGUCCUCAAAGCCCUUGGUCGUAGUGUGUGGCCUGUGGAGGUAUCUGUGAAGCAGAAAGAGGUGGUAGGCAAAAAUGAUGAGCAAUCCACAAGGGACCAGAAUCAAAUCCAGGGUUUAUUAACAAGAGACAAGUGCCGUUGAAGAAGUGCAUUCGAGUGUUUUCUUCAAGCCAUUACUGUCCUCUUUUCCAGCUAUUCGUCCAUCUUCAAGCAGUAAUCAUUUAUAGCCUCUUGCAAUCAGUAAUACUGUUUCUAAUGAUCAACACCUCACCCAUCACAUGAUCAAGUUCACACAAGAAUACAAGAAGGAGAACUAUCUAAUGAUGCUAUUCCUUAUCAAAUUCUUCAUAUAAGUACGGGUAAUACAAAUGAGAGUUCUGACAGAUCAGAAGAGCAAGAAAAUAUUGUUGUUGUGCAGAACAGGCACCCUAUGGUUACAAGGAGUAAAUCUGGAAUAUAUUAGCCGAAAGUUCCUUUUGUUGGCUCAGCAGAUUCCUCUUCCACUGUCAUAUCUGAACCUCAGAAUGUGUCUGAAACCUUGUGAUCAGAUAUGUGGAGAAGGGCUACGAUAGAUGAAUUCAAUGCUCUUGUCAAAAUCUAACAUGGAUUCUAGUUUCUAAUACCAGGAAAGAAGCACCUGUGGAUUGCAAAUGGGCAUUUAAACCUAAGUUUAACCCAGACGGCUCCUUUCUUAAGCCUGAGGCUAGAUUAGCAGCCAAAGGCUUUCAACAACAUCCUGGGGUUGGUUAUGAAGAGACAUUCAGUCCUGUUUUGAAACCAGCACCUCUGAGAUUUGUUUUGACUUUAGCUGUUAGUUUCAAGUAGUAGAUAAGACAGCCAGACAUUAAUAAUGCAUUUUUUAAUGGUCAUUGGCAAGAAAAGGUGUUCAUGAAACAACAGGAGGGUUUAUUGAUAAAAGAUUCCCUAAUCACAUUUGUCUAUUGAAAAAGGCAAUAUAUGAACUAAAACAAGCACCUAGAGCUUGGUUUGACAUGUUGAAGUCUACUUUGCUUGGUUGGAAUUCGAAAUACUCAAAAUGUGAUAAUUCAUUGUUUUUCCUAAAGCUGAAGUCCUAUGUGAUGUUUGUGCUUAUCUA